RNA transcript from Erinaceus europaeus (western European hedgehog), 3150 nucleotides. It is a transcript of the gene named BOLA class I histocompatibility antigen, alpha chain BL3-7-like, with no coding region annotated. The transcript has 2 exons. NCBI's taxonomy places the organism in Eukaryota, Metazoa, Chordata, Mammalia, Eulipotyphla, Erinaceidae. The record is from RefSeq and is a predicted model, not a curated record.
UUCCUCUCUGGCCCACGGUGUGGCAACGUCUGACACUCACGUUCUAAAACCAGCACGACUGGGUGUAUAAAAAGCCUGCUGAGAUGCUGAUUGGGACCUGAAGUCUAAAGAGCCGGUGACCGGAAGUGCCCCCCACACCUCCCAACGCGUUGAGCCCCUAUGUGGCAUUUCUCUGCUCCUAUGUGGCACCGCUAGAGCACCGCCUUUUCCGCUGGGUGGCUCGGAGGAAAACGAAAAGCGAGCUAGAUUUCGACGUCGCAACUGUUAAAAGGACUCCUUGCUCAGACACUCCCCCUCGAGUUUGCCGUCCAUCAGUUCCAGUCUGACUUCAUCCUGAUCAAAACUUGGACAGAAGACAAGCUCUACCCUAAUUGGGAACGCCCCUUUCCAGGUGUUGCUAACUACUAAGAGCUAUUUGGACUGGAAAAAGGGUGUUUCAGAUAGGUGGUUGUGGCAGUCAUGGAAAGUUCCCAACCAUCCUCUAAAGUUAGUGUUAAAAAAAAUAACAACAUGUGGAAACUCCUUUUAAUUCUCUGGACAGUUUACCAGACUGGAGCCAAUGCACCAUGGAAAGAUGCCCCCAAUGGGGACUGGAGAGGGUAUGGAGUCUCUCUGGUUAUUAAUGUCACCAUGACAACCUCACCUCUUGUACUAGAAUUUGAUGCAUGUCAGGUGUUACAGUGUGGGGCUAUAAUCUACCAAAGAUGGCUCUCCAAGCAUCAUAAAUACCUGUGUCCCAGCAUCCGCAACCCUGAGUAUUAUGGUAGAUUGUAUAGGUGGGAACACCCUCCCUGUUCCUUCUGGGAUGAGGUAUGGUGGACCACUGAGCCAGGCGGCUGGACAGCUUCAGUUCCUAGCAGAAAAUUUCCCAAGCUGACCCAGCUAAAACCAAAGAUAUCUCUAUCUAUGGGAAACACGUCUGCCAAUUGCCAGUUACUCCAAUGCAACCCUCUGCUUUUGAUCAUACAGGACCCCCUUUCUCUUUUUACUGAACCCCGGGUUGCCUCUCGGAUGUAUGGUCUUGGGGCAGAUGUGAGUGGAACAGAUCCUAUAGGGAAACUGGUUCUUAGGUUUAUUCAGGAGCCAAUCCCUACUUCUGUCCCCAACAAUGGAUCCACAGAGUCCCAGAGAAUCAUUUCAAAACAACCCCCCCAAAAAAAAUAAUGGGCUGGGAGAUGGUACAACCAGUAGAUCAUCGCACAUGUUACCACAUAGUUCAAGCCCCUAGUUCCCACCUGUAGGGGUGAAGCACUGUUGCUGGUGUCUCUCCCCAUUUCCUCUCAAUUUUUCUCUGUCUUAUCAAAUAAAGUAAGGAUUAUUGAAGUCAAGAACCCAAGUUGAACUCUCGAAAUAGAAGCAGUUUAUGGAGACACCCAUGCCUGGGUAGAAUGAGUUUUUUUUUUCUCUGCAUUCCAUAAACAAGAGACACUGUUAUGCAUGUGCUCCAGGGAGACCACAGUUCCUUGGAUGGGACACUCACUUUGGUGGAAAUUACUGCAUGUUGGCUCUGUCCUAGAACAAAGAUGUAUGGGGAAAUGAGACCUGCAAAAGCCUGUCACUGCUCUUUCCCCCUCUACAGUGUCUGGCCUGUGGACUAAAGCCAUCGUUCUCCAUAGGGACUAACCACCACUCUUCCUGCCUGUCCAGGUAGGGUAAUGAGUACACCAACCUGAUGGGAGAGCUGGCAGCCUGUAGCAGCAUCCUCAGUGUCACUGGUGAAUCAACCAAUGGCAGCUACUUGAACUUCGGUAGGCCCCAAGCAGACGUGGGAAUCAGACCCUCUGUGCCCUGUUGCCUCCCAACUGGACUGGAAUUUGUCCAACUGGCCAUUUCCAUUUCCACAUUAGGGGUCUUGUCAUUGGAGAUUCUUACUGGGGCACCAGUGAUCUUUAAACCCUUAAUAUAUUAGGUUUUUUUGCACAAGAAAAACUGAAAAAUAAAUCAUGACUUUUCUGACAACCCAAUAUAUCUGGAUGCCAUAGAGUACCAAGAGUGGUUCCAAAUGAAUUUAAAGCUAGAAACCGAAUAGCUGCUGGGCUUGAAUCCUCACUCUUUUGGUGGUCUACUAUUGAUAAAAAUGUAGACUGGGUUAAUUAUAUGUAUUACAACUUGUAGCAGUUUACUAUGUUAGAGAUGCUGUCUAAGCUAUGUCUAGUCAAUUGGAUGCUAUCACCAGAAUGACUUAAGAAGACAGGAUGGAGUUAGAUAUGAUGUUGGCAAAAAAAAGCCUCUGAAAAAAAAAAUGCCUCUGAUGGCAUCAUCCCCAGGGCUUUUACAGGGUCUGGCUAAUGAGUUGGCCAAGAAUUCCAGCCUUGAUAAUCUGAAACAGCUAUCAAUAAACAGAUGCCCAUGAAAUAUCACCAGAAAUAAUAAGUUACCGGAAACUGGGAUGGAUCGGCUACCCCACCCCACAAGAAAUUGAACAAAUGUUGAAGCAAAUUAAAAAGUGAACUAUAGUGGAAAUAAAAUAAAAAUGUCAACAAUAGAUUGGGGGGGGGAGUGUGAUUAUAGCGCUUUAUCUUCCCCCACCUGGCUUUCUAGAUCAGGAUGUAGGUUCAGCUAGCUCACACAAAGAGCUUAUGGAACUGCAGUUACAGGUUUUUCUGACUAUGGAAAAACUAGUCCUCCCCCCAGUUGCUAGACCUAGACCACAGGUAUAAACAUAUGAAACAAGGGCAGGGGUAGAUAGCAUAAUGGUUUUACAAGGAGACCCUCAUGCCUGAGGCUCUGAAGUCCCAGGUUCAAUCCCUCACACCACCAUAAACUAGAGCUAAGCAGUGCUCUGGUAAACAAACAAACCUGUUAAACAUAUAAAACAAGAGGUAGAGGACUCAAGACUGUGGAAAAUCCCCAGAUAGCUGUUGGGAAGGAAUAUGUUCUAUGAGGCAUAUCAGCACAAAGAAUAAGAACGUUUGUACAAAUAAAGUGCUAACACCUAGGUUCAUAGCCUUAAAAAGGGUACAAUAAGGAGGUUCUUCCCAUUACUAGGCACCUCUUGGAUGAGAUUUUUCACUCCACAGUACUCAGCCUAUGAAGGACUGGAAGAGGGACUUUGCAUUAGAGAUAAAAGUGUCUGGUGUUAUCUCAAAACAGUGUGCAUCUUCCUGCUUGAUUUUGGGAAAAUCAAAUAAAGUCUUGCUUUCUGCUAUG